Long non-coding RNA from Felis catus (domestic cat), 722 nucleotides. RefSeq lists it as uncharacterized. The record is from RefSeq and is a predicted model, not a curated record. The transcript is spliced from 2 exons. NCBI's taxonomy places the organism in Eukaryota, Metazoa, Chordata, Mammalia, Carnivora, Felidae.
GUCAGCAAAUAUUGACUGGACCCCUUUUCUGUGCUCCACACUGGGAUACAAGAGGAGGGGAACAGAGCCCCACCGGGCCCUUCCUAGUGCCCAGAUGUGCAAAUCACAGUAGGGCUUUCUUUCACUGUCCUGCCUUCAUUUUAGCCUCUCUCAUGUUUCACCCCAAGUCUAGAAAGGAUCAAUGGCCCACAUUCCACCACUGGUUGCUGAAGGAAAACAGGACGAAGCUAACAUCCAGCAGUCGAAUAUGGUUUUCUUCAAAUGCUUUUUUUCCCUAAUGUUUGAUGGUCCUGGAAAUCUGGUUUGAAGCCUGUCUGCAGCCACCUGAUGCCCGCUGCCUCCCCCAGCAAUGCCUGGAUCCUUCGGUGGAUGUAUUGUAAAGACUCAUCUUCAUUGAGUUGCUUUCGUGGAAUGUCUGCUGGAUGGGGGCCCAGGAGCAGACGUUAUAAGAAAAUGGGGUUGGAAAGCUAUGCUGCUAGCAUUAAAAAAAGAAAACCUUAAAACGUGAAAACUUCCUCCAAGCUUCUUUUUUGGAUCCUGCAGAUUCCACUGAUCACGGUUCUUAAUUCCAUUGUCUGUAGUCAAGGUCACACAAUAAACAUGCAAAAGCGAAGCCUGUACCUUCUGGAUGCUCCCACUAAAGGGCUUGAGGACGCCCGAGUUCUUCUUCACAUCAUCGUAAUUAGGGACUCCACCAAUAAAAAUGUCCGUGUUGCACUUAA